GUGAGACAGUUCGGUCCCUAUCUGCCGUGGGUGUAGGAUACUUGAGAGGAGUUGCCCCUAGUACGAGAGGACCGGGGUGAACGAACCACUGGUGGACCAGUUGUCGUGCCAACGGCAGUGCUGGGUAGCUAUGUUCGGACAGGAUAACCGCUGAAGGCAUCUAAGCGGGAAGCCCCCCUCAAAACAAGGUAUCCCUGAGGGCCGUGGAAGACCACCACGUCAAUAGGCCGG
This 231-nucleotide ribosomal RNA is filed under the name uncultured Thalassiosira. RNAcentral's name for it is "partial Bacterial large subunit ribosomal RNA". It matches the Rfam family "Bacterial large subunit ribosomal RNA", at positions 2621 to 2864 of the family's 2925-position model. The record is from RNAcentral. Lineage: Eukaryota; Bacillariophyta; Thalassiosirophyceae; Thalassiosirales; Thalassiosiraceae.